CAUAAUAAUAUUCCUUUAUACAAUUUUCGUAUCCAGCUGCAGUGAUAUCCUACAGUUAUCAAAAACUCUCCUCUUCAAUACAUUAUAUGACUCUUCAACUGUUUUUUUGUUUUUAUUAUACAGUUAUUCAGUAUACCAGGAUAUGUAUACCAUUAUUGCUGUAAAAAGCACGUGGUGUAUGAUGGGCGUGGACAAGUUGUGUGUUUACCAAUAAGAUAAUAAACAUUAAAACAGGUAUUUUUAAAAUAACAUAAAACAACGUUAAAAUUGAAAAGAAAUGCUGUCACUUUUCACGGUUCGUUGCUGAAAUCGUCGCUAUCCUUUCGAUUUUAUCGUGUGAUCUCUAAGAGCAGACAUUUUGCCAAGAUAAACUCCUAAAACAACAGUUUAUAGUGUGUCAAUCUAGUAAACAAACAUUGAUCCUUUACCUGGGUCUGACCGUCAUACGACAUGGGCUUGGACAAUAAACUGACAUGCGCGAUUUCAAAAUGUCAGCGUCGUAUUUCCUCGAGUUUUACUUACAUUCCAGGUGAAAAAAUCCCCUAAAGGGGCAUUGUCAAACUCCUUACGAAAACAAAUGGAUCGUUAGGUCACCACGUGACGGGGUGAGAAAGGGAGCCCGGCGGUUGGAGAGCCACGCCGAACUAAGCCCUUGUCUAAACACUUUCUGCCACAAAAAACGAGUCGGGCGCUAAUUAGUUUAGUGGUGUCGGCCUAUUAAGGGGUCUGAGACCGUGUGAACCCUUUGUAACACCGACUGAUAAUCCAUUUGUAUCGUCCGCACGUUAUAAUUAACGGUUAUUGUUUAUUUGCGCCGCGGGAUCCCCUCCGGACACGUUUUCCGCGCCAUCAUAGGGAGCCGAUCACGUAACAAACAGCAUGAUGUCGCUACUUCCGGUCCUUAUUUGUUAUUUUUUACACCUUCUCUUUGCGUCAGAUGAAGAGCAUUCGACAAUUUUCUCCCUUUGAAGAAAACUACCCCGGAAUGCAAUUAACAGUUUCAAUAGGUGUAUUAUUAAGCAUAUAGAAAUACCUGUAUAUGAUCAAAUAAUAAAUAAUAUUAUAACGCCGAACGGUGUUCAGUCAAUGUGUGAAAUUUAAAACAGUGCUAUCUCAAUUAUUAUUGUUAAAUUUUUUUAAAGUCUAAAUUCUUGAAAAAUUUUGAAAUUGGUUAUCCUGAAUUAUUGAGAGUAAUGAAAAGUGUCAUGAAAUACAUUAAGAAGAAGCGAAGAGAGGUUAUAUGUCAAUGUUUCCUGACGAACGCAUGAAGGGUCAUGAUUAAUAGAGUUUAUAAACAGAGAUUAUCAACAGAUCAAUACAUCGAUUUUAUGAUGUCCCGGUCGAAAGGUAAACUGGCGUCUUCCAUUGGAAUGUUUAAGAUACAGAAGUAUCAUAUUUAAAAACCGUGUCCCUAACGGUAUGUAUGUUUAGGGAGCUGUACAGGCCAGGAUAAAAGGGCGGGGAUUUGGAAAGUUAAUCGAAGGAAUUGUACUGAUCAACCCAGAGUUUCUAGAAAAGCGGGAUUAUUCGCACCUAGGGACUGGUCGGAAUGUCAAUUACAUUUCCGCAGUUGUCUGGGUUCUUUUAAUGCACCGUAGCUGCUUGAAUACGUUAGUGAAGUACGAUUAUAACUCUGGUAAUUGGAAAGUUAAUCGUGGAAACACUAGUCUUGUUAGAAAAGCAAAACAAAUUCUAGCAAAUAUAGCCCCGUGUUACCGUGAAAACAUACGUCGAUGAAUAAUUCAUUAAAUGUCGACUUGCGCGUUAGAUUUCUCACUUAAUCUGUUUAUAACAAGGAAUGGCAAAAUACACUUUUUAUUUAUGUCUUUUCUCUUUGAAAUAUGAUCUUAUACAUACAUUGCAAAAGUGUUGAAAAAUGGCAUAAAUAUCUUAUAUUGAAAAGUUUAUUCUAUCCGUGUGACCAGGUCAGUAAUUUGCGAUGUAUAUAAUACAUGAACAUGGCUUAUGAUAUAUCUGUGUAUAAAUCUGAUAACAGCAAUUAUCCCAUUAUGAACGGUUAUGCCUGUGGCAUUUUACAAUUUGAAAACAAUUUUCUAGUUGUAGCUAGAUAUCUAUGAUAUAUAGGUUCCUUUUUUUCCCGUGCGUUCUUCAAAGACAAAAUAUGGAUUUCCCUUUCAAUAUUAAUUAAUAAUAAUUAUUAUAUGUAGCUAUAGUAUUGUCACUCUAGAUGUCCAUACAUAACUGAACACACGAGAAAGACGAAGUUUAUCUUUUCAUCUUUUUUUUUUAAUUAUUAUUUUCUUAUUCAAAUGAUUUACGCUUGUGUUAGAGGAAUUUGUAUAUAUGGCCUAUUGACCUACAGAAAUGUUUAACAUCGCUUCCUUGCACUCCCGCGUUAAUCCUUUUUGGUAAAAGUUUUAUAUUUUUGCUUGCGGACAAAAUUCCCCGCCGAAUUCUGUUAUGUUUUCAUAGCCUUGUUCCUCCAGCUCACACUAUUUCCAUAUAAUUUCAAUUAUAAUUUGGGGAAUUACAAACAAAGUUUUAGUAAGUUGUUACAAAAACACACCAUGAAUUUAAAUCCUUGGCCGGAAUAUUGUACGUUGACAGAGGGCGCUGUUGUCUUCGGUAGUUCUCGUUUAAGUCGACUGAGGGCGCUGUAGUUUUCUACCUUGCUUUUAACUGCAGAGGGCGCUGUUACUUUCUUUCUAGUUGAUAGUACAUUUACACAUUUAAUGUUUUCAUUGUAAGUCGGCAGAGGGCACUGUUGUUGCCCUUUUCGUUUGUAGCACAUAUCUAUACAAAUUGAAUGUCCCAAAUUUGUAAGUCGACAGAGGGCGCUUUUGCUUUCUCUCUCGUUUGUAGAGCAGUGCAUAUAUACAAACAUUGAAUGUCGACAGAGGGCGCUUGUAGUUUUUUGUUUCUCGUUUGUUGUAAAUGUCUUGUAGUAGUCGUGUUUUAAGUCCGCAGAGAGCGCUGUUGUUUUCGCUCUCGUUUGACAAAUGAAUGUAAGAUAUUUAUAUCUUAAGUCGCUGAGUAGAUAAGCUGAUUACAGGUUGAACCCUAGGACCGCCAUCAUUAUUUCUCGGCAUGUCGCAUGUAGGUGGCGAAAUAAGUAGAUCUCUCUCAAGAGCAAAUAGCGUAUGUAAAUAACCAGGGCCCACUCCGAUCUCCUGGCUGACCAAAUACCAUUAGGUAAUAUGGCCUCUUAGUAGCGGUAUACCUGAAGGCUAGAUUAUUUAAAUAAACACCACAUUUUAUGUACAGUAGCAAUUCUUGUCCAAAUAGGUAUCCAUUUCUACGCUUAAUGGACGUCUGUGAGUUCCGCCAAUGGAAGUAAGGCGAUUUCUGUCUAUUGGGCCAAUACUAAAUAUGCAUUGAUCACUGCUUCGGGUUAUUUACAUACAAGGAACAAUGGGGCAGAUAGUUUCGCUCAGCCAUCAUACGGAAACACUGUUAAACUGAACAAAUUGAAUUAUAUCAUAACUAAAUGCAUUUGUACUAAAUACUCGUUAAAUAUCAUAUUCAUAGUUAGUUGAAUGAAUAGCUGUAACGAGCCGAAAUCCCGAGCCAAUUGUUCGAACUCGCUGGCAAUGCUAAGUCCCCCAGUGUUAUUGGUGUGCUGGUAUUGUAUAGAAGAGCGUGAAAAUCCAUAGACGGCUCUCCAUUGAGCUAGUAUGAAAAGAAUUUUCGCCUAUUAUCUGGUAGUACAAAAUAUAUUGUUGGGUUUCUGAAAGAGACGUUUCUUUAUCUCGUUACAUAUUACAUUGCCUAAGAGAGCCUUCCAUUUAAAAUGGAGAAUAAAAGUUUAUUGAUAACAUACAAUUAGCCGCCAAGGCGCUUUAUAGGAGAGUAUUUUACUAGCAUUUGUAGCAUUAAACCCGAAACAUGUGGACGUUCGAGCCAUUGCUAAAUGUUGUGACUUACAGGAUCUGGAUACAUUCAUAUUUGUACAAAUGGAUAUAUACAUAUAUAGAUAUAUUUAUUUAAAAUACUCUUAUAUUUGAUGAUGGAUUUUAGGUCGGUGUACAUAUAGCCAGCACUGUUCCGAGUGUAAGGAGAAGAAACAAAUCCUUCAGCAUUGACUUUCGUAGAUGACAGACGAAGAGAUUUAUCAACAUUUCUCUGAAAAUGGUAGAUUUCGUCGCCAGGGAUGAAGCAGGUGGGACCGUGUGAAAAUGUGGAUUUCUGAAUGAGAAAUUGGCCCUAACGACAGGGAGUCCUAUCGAUGUACCUCCUUAAUUUCUACUUUAUUUUUCUGACUAGGGAGUCUAAAAUUUCUGCCUUUUUAGACGCCUCCCUCAACAUCUUUGUUGUUUUCCGAUAAGGUAGUUUAUAAGUUCAAUUCAAUUUAACUUUAUUCCGUCAGUUUUACAACUUAUUUGAUAACAUAGUAUACAAACAUUAAAGGACACAGUGACCCACUCUUACAUAAUUCAUCAGUCAUUCUACAAAAUAGUACUUACUGUCUUCACAUACAUUUACAGUCAACAAAAAUAUUUUUUACAACCGUCUUAAAGAACAAUAACAAUUGAUUUAUUAUUGAUCUAAUAAGUUGAAAAUGAAUAUAUUUUGUAUUAUCUAUGUCCUAUACGUGUAUCUCGCCAAUUUGUUUUUAUUUUGCGAUCAGAGAGUCUAAGAUCUCGUGCCUAGUUAAACACCUCUCCAUUUUCUUUUAUUGCCUGAUCGACCUUUAUGUCCAGUGUUUAAAUACCGCAGUGUCGUUGUCCUGCUGAACAUUGCUUUGUACAUAAUAUUUCUGGGGUUUUUUUGUUUGUUUUUUAUUUUUUUGCUUUUUUGUUUUUUGUUUUUGUUUUUUUGUUUUGCCUUUUUUCGAUAUUUAUAUUAACAUUGAAUUCAAUGUUUUUACUCGUCGUAGUUUUGCUGUUAACCCUUAAAAUCUUGUUUAUCUUUAAAGCUUCUUGGUGUUAAAACUAAAAGUGUUCAAAUCGACAUUAAAGUUUUGUUCUUAUUUAACACAAUUAUUUUAUAAAUAUUUCCUGUUGAAAUUGAUUUUCUUUACCCUGUGUUUAACACUUUAUCAAUAAUCAGUA
Long non-coding RNA from Pecten maximus, 5012 nucleotides. RefSeq lists it as uncharacterized. The record is from RefSeq and is a predicted model, not a curated record. NCBI's taxonomy places the organism in Eukaryota, Metazoa, Mollusca, Bivalvia, Pectinida, Pectinidae. The transcript is spliced from 4 exons.